CUACGGGCGGCAGCAGCUAAGAAUCUUCCGCAAUGGGCGAAAGCCUGACGGAGCGACGCCGCGUGUGUGAUGAAGGCCGUGAGGUUGUAAAACACUUUUGUUACUGAAGAAUAAGUGCGGUAGGGAAUGACCGCAUGAUGACGUUAGGUAACGAAUAAGCCCCGGCUAAUUACGUGCCAGCAGCCGCGGUAACACGUAAGGGGCAAGCGUUGUUCGGAUUUAUUGGGCGUAAAGGGCGCGUAGGCGGUUUGCCAAGCCUGAUGUGAAAGACCCCGGCUUAACCGGGGGGACGCGUUGGGAACUGGCAGGCUAGAGUAUAGGAGGGGUAGUUGGAAUUCCAGGUGUAGGGGUGAAAUCUGUAGAUAUCUGGAAGAACACCGGUGGCGAAGGCGAACUACUGGCCAUAUACUGACGCUGAGGCGCGAAAGUGUGGGGAGCGAACAGGAUUAGAUACCCCAGUAGUC
RNAcentral lists this ribosomal RNA (464 nucleotides) under uncultured bacterium. RNAcentral describes it as "partial 16S ribosomal RNA". It matches the Rfam family "Bacterial small subunit ribosomal RNA", at positions 339 to 795 of the family's 1533-position model. The record is from RNAcentral.